CAUCGGAACGUGCCCAGUAGUGGGGGAUAACUACGCGAAAGCGUAGCUAAUACCGCAUACGUACUAAGGUAGAAAGCAGGGGAUUCUCGGGCAACUGAGGACCUUGCGCUAUUGGAGCGGCCGAUGUCUGAUUAGCUUGUUGGUGAGGUAAAAGCUCACCAAGGCGACGAUCAGUAACUGGUCUGAGAGGACGACCAGUCACACUGGGACUGAGACACGGCCCAG
This 225-nucleotide ribosomal RNA is filed under the name uncultured bacterium. Its description in RNAcentral is "partial 16S ribosomal RNA". It matches the Rfam family "Bacterial small subunit ribosomal RNA", at positions 116 to 334 of the family's 1533-position model. The record is from RNAcentral.